RNAcentral lists this ribosomal RNA (552 nucleotides) under Proechimys quadruplicatus (Napo spiny rat). Its description in RNAcentral is "partial 16S ribosomal RNA". It matches the Rfam family "Bacterial large subunit ribosomal RNA", at positions 1816 to 2597 of the family's 2925-position model. The record is from RNAcentral. Lineage: Eukaryota; Metazoa; Chordata; Mammalia; Rodentia; Echimyidae.
CACCUCUAGCAUCACAAGUAUUAGAGGCACUGCCUGCCCAGUGACAUCCUAAUGUUAAACGGCCGCGGUAUUCUGACCGUGCAAAGGUAGCAUAAUCACUUGUUCUUUAAAUAAGGACUAGUAUGAAAGGCUAAACGAGGGUUUGACUGUCUCUUUCUUAUAGUCAAUGAAAUUGACCUCUCCGUGAAGAGGCGGAGAUUAUAAAAUAAGACGAGAAGACCCUAUGGAGCUUAAAUUAAAUAAUUCAUUUUACUACUACAAACAAUCAACAAGAGAUAAAAAGAAAAUUAUGAAUUAACUAUUUUGGUUGGGGUGACCUCGGAGUAAAACCAAACCUCCGAAUGAUAUUAACUUAGACACACAGGUCAAAGAUAUAUUCAUAAAUUGACCCAGAAAAAAUCUGAUCAACGAACCAAGUUACCCUAGGGAUAACAGCGCAAUCCUAUUAUAGAGUUCAUAUCGACAAUAGGGUUUACGACCUCGAUGUUGGAUCAGGACACCCAAAUGGUGCAACCGCUAUUAAAGGUUCGUUUGUUCAACGAUUAAAGUCCU